ACUUGGUGUGGUUGUUGCUGGCCCUCUCGGGGGCAUGUGCACACCCACCAUCCUCAUCUCUCCACCUGUGCACCUCUUGUAGACCUGGAUUGACUUUCCGAGGCAACUYGGUCGGGAAGAUUGCUGGGCUCUGUGAGCCAGCUUUCUUUGCAUGUCCAGGCCUAUGUUUUUUCAUAUACCCUUAUAGAAUGUAACAGAAUGUAUCAUUGGGCCUUGUGCCUAUAAACCUUAUACAACUUUCAGCAACGGAUCUCUUGGCUCUCGCAUCGAUGAAGAACGCAGCGAAAUGCGAUAAGUAAUGUGAAUUGCAGAAUUCAGUGAAUCAUCGAAUCUUUGAACGCACCUUGCGCUCCUUGGUAUUCCGAGGAGCAUGCCUGUUUGAGUGUCAUUAAAUUCUCAACCUUAUUAACUUUUGUUGAUAAUGGAUUGGAUUGUGGGGGUUUCUUUUGCUGGCUUCUUCACAGAGAUCAGCUCCCCUUAAAUGCAUUAGCUGGUGCCCCGCGUGGACCAUCUAUUGGUGUGAUAAUUAUCUACGCCGUGGAUGUCUGCAAUCAUAUGGGUUUCGCACUGCUUCUAACCGUCUGUUCAUUCGGACAAUACAUGACAAUUUGACCUCAAAUCAGGUAGGACUACCCGCUGAACUUAAGCAUAUCAAUAAGCGGAGGAAAAGAAACUAACAAGGAUUCCCCUAGUAACUGCGAGUGAAGCGGGAAAAGCUCAAAUUUAAAAUCUGGCGGUCUCCGGCCGUCCGAGUUGUAAUCUAGAGAGUGUUAUCCGCGCUGGACCGUGACAAA
This 794-nucleotide ribosomal RNA is filed under the name Alnicola striatula. RNAcentral's name for it is "eukaryotic LSU rRNA". The stretch from base 235 to 388 matches the Rfam family "5.8S ribosomal RNA". Lineage: Eukaryota; Fungi; Basidiomycota; Agaricomycetes; Agaricales; Hymenogastraceae. The record is from RNAcentral.